RNAcentral lists this ribosomal RNA (459 nucleotides) under uncultured bacterium. RNAcentral describes it as "partial 16S ribosomal RNA". It matches the Rfam family "Bacterial small subunit ribosomal RNA", at positions 338 to 795 of the family's 1533-position model. The record is from RNAcentral.
CCUACGGGAGGCAGCAGUGAGGAAUAUUGGUCAAUGGUCGGGAGACUGAACCAGCCAAGCCGCGUGAGGGAGGAAGGUACAGAGUAUCGUAAACCUCUUUUGUCAGGGAACAAAGACUGGGACGCGUCCCCGGAUGAGUGUACCUGAAGAAAAAGCAUCGGCUAACUCCGUUCCAGCAGCCGCGGUAAUACGGAGGAUGCGAGCGUUAUCCGGAUUUAUUGUGUUUAAAGGGUGCCCAGCGGGUCUGUUAAGUCAGCGGUAAAACCCCGGGGCUCAACCCCGGCCCGCCGUUGACACUGGCAGUCGCGAGUUGGAGAGAGGUAUGCGGAAUGCGCGGUGUAGCGGUGAAAUGCAUAGAUAUCGCGAAGAACUCCGAUUGCGAAGGCAGCAUGCCGGCUCCACACUGACGCUGAGGCACGAAAGCGUGGGUAUCGAACAGGAUUAGAUACCCUGGUAGUC